GAAAUUACGCCUUCCAUGAAGCUGGAAUUGCUAGUAAUGGCAGGUCAGCAUACUGCCGUGAAUACGUUCCCGGGCCUUGUACACACCGCCCGUCACACCAUGAGAGUUGGAAAUACCCGAAGCCUGUGAGCUAACUGUAAAGAGGCAGCAGUCGAAGGUAGAGCCAAUGAUUGGGGUGAAGUCGUAACAAGGUACC
This 196-nucleotide ribosomal RNA is filed under the name uncultured bacterium. RNAcentral describes it as "partial 16S ribosomal RNA". It matches the Rfam family "Bacterial small subunit ribosomal RNA", at positions 1307 to 1500 of the family's 1533-position model. The record is from RNAcentral.